AAAUGCGAUACUUGGUGUGAAUUGCAGAAUCCCGUGAACCAUCGAGUCUUUGAACGCAAGUUGCGCCCGAAGCCAUUAGGCCGAGGGCACGCCUGCCUGGGUGUCACCAA
RNAcentral lists this ribosomal RNA (110 nucleotides) under Nissolia brasiliensis. RNAcentral's name for it is "Chaetocalyx brasiliensis partial 5.8S ribosomal RNA". It matches the Rfam family "5.8S ribosomal RNA", at positions 51 to 154 of the family's 154-position model. From Rfam's summary of the family: 5.8S ribosomal RNA (5.8S rRNA) is a component of the large subunit of the eukaryotic ribosome. The record is from RNAcentral. RNAcentral also lists the same sequence under 1 other name. Lineage: Eukaryota; Viridiplantae; Streptophyta; Magnoliopsida; Fabales; Fabaceae.